This 408-nucleotide ribosomal RNA is filed under the name uncultured bacterium. Its description in RNAcentral is "partial 16S ribosomal RNA". It matches the Rfam family "Bacterial small subunit ribosomal RNA", at positions 28 to 526 of the family's 1533-position model. The record is from RNAcentral.
GACGAACGCUGGCGGCGUGCUUAACACAUGCAAGUCGAACGAAGUGGCGAACGGGUGAGUAAUACGUGGGUAACCUGCCCUCCUUUUUGGGAUAAGCCUUGGAAACGGGGUCUAAUACCGAAUAAAGGGGGAUGGGCUCGCGGCCUAUCAGAUCGUUGGUGGGGUGAUGGCCUACCAAGGCGGUGACGGGUAGCCGGCCUGAGAGGGUGACCGGCCACAGUGGGACGGAGAGACGGGCCAGAAUCCUACGGGAGGCAGCAGGGGGGGAUAGUGCCCAAUGGACGAACGCCUGAUGCAGCGACGCCGGGUGGGGGAUGAAGGCCUUCGGGUUGUAAACUCCUUUCGACAGGGACGCGGUACCUGUAUAAGAAGCACCGGCUAACUACGUGCCAGCAGCCGCGGUAAUAC